UUCUGCAUUGUACACACAGGAAGACUUUUAAGAGAAGGGUGUGGGCCUGAGUGAUGGUUCUGCAUCCAUCCAGGAAGUACUUGCUUCUUAAGCACAAGGCCCGGGUUGAAUCCAGCUCCUCUUCCAUCUGUCUGAGACCAGGGCUCACAAGGAAGAAGCAGAAAGAUGAGAAAGAAGAGGAUGAGGAGCAAAGGGAGACGAACUGGAAGUGUUGGCACAGACCCGUAAUCCCAGCAAUACGUGUCAGAAGCAGGAAGACCACUCAGUUCAAAGCCAGCCUGGGCGACACAGCAAGUAAAAUCCGUCCUCAGAAAACUUCACAAGUAUCUGUAUAAAGCAACCAUGGACAAGCCUGGGCUACCCAGAAAGAAACCUAGAGGCCUUGAACAGGGGCUCCACCAAUGAGCCACACCCACAACUUUCCUCUUGCAAGUCCUGCGGAUGAGCCCCAGGUCCUCAGGCAUGCUAGCAAAAGACGUGCAACCCUGAGUCUUUCCUUUUGGAACCCCAGAAUGCCCAAGGUCCCAGGUCCGAGGUCCGCCAGAAGAUCCUAAGAGCUAGGGCCGGAAGCUGGAGAAACCAUUAACCAGGGGACUAGAGUGAUCCUCAGAUAAAAGUGUUAGAGCCGAUUAGGACCUAGGCAACCACACACACACACACACACACACACACACACACACACGCACACACUUACUUAAUACUGUCACCCUCAAACACUCGCACCUGCUCACGUGCUCAAGAAUACACACCCAAAUGAUGCGUUCAGAUCUCCGUUUCAUUCGCACACGUGUAAUAGUUGCAACACACUUCACACCCAUCAUACCUGUGCACACACUCCCAUGAAUGUCUACACAUGGGACCAAUGGCCCAUCCUCAGGAUGGGAGCAGACGGAGCCUGAAUAAGUCACUUUUCUGUUGCUGCAACACAAAGGACUUAGGAGAGAAAGAAAGGGUUGGGCUUUGACUUUCAGCUCCAGAAGGGAUGCCAUCCAUGGUGGUGGGGAAGCCCAGCAGCAGGACCAUGAGGCGGCUGCUCACAUCAAAUCUACAGUCAGGAAGCAGAGAGAGGCGAAUGCUGGGGCUCAGCCCAUUUCUCCAUUUGAUUCGAUCUAAGGACGGUGCCACCCACGGCUAAGGUCUGCACUGCUGAGAUGAGAGGAAUGCACCAGCCAGGAGGUGGUGGCGCACGCCUUUAAUCCCAGCACUUGGGAGGCAGAGGCAGGCGGAUUUCUGAGUUCCAGGCCAGCCUGGUCUACAAAGUGAGUUCCAGGACAGCCAGGGCUACACAAAGAAACCCUGUCUCGAAAAACCAAAAAGAAAAAAUAAAAGAGAGAGGUGCGCACUGCCUGAGCUGGUCUGUGCUUGAAAAUUCCCCUCCCCUUAGCCGCUGUUUUAGCUGGAUCAUCGUUUAGUUUGUCACUUCCAAUUUUGUCCCUGGCUACACUUUGUCCUUUUUUUAGUUCGAUUAAAAUCCUAAUUAAAAUUCUUUGAGAGGAAAUAAUAAUAAAAAUAGACCCGUGCCAGCGACGCUUCCGUCUGCAGGGUUGUGUUGAUGAAUUAUCCAAGGAUCCAGCGUGGAGAGGCCCUGACUCCAGAGCUCAGGAGGCGGUGGCAGCCGGCCUGCAGCCAGCUGGACUCCUAUUGGCUGUCCAUCACAAGUGCCACUCAGCUCCUGGGUAAUAGAUUCUAUCUACAGAGACAGACAUAGGCCCAAGUGUAUGAGGUCAGCAUUCGGGAAACCUGGAGGCAGAAGGAUCAGGAGUUCAAAGUCAUCACUGGUUAAGAUCGGGGCUUUGGGGCUGGAGAGAUGGCUCAGUGGUUAAGAGCACCGACUGCUCUUCCGAAGGUCCUGAGUUCAAAUCCCAGCAACCACAUGGUGGCUCACAACCAUCCGUAAUGAGAUCUGACGCUCUCUUCUGGUGCAUCUGAUAUAGUGUACUUUGAUAUAAUAAUAAAUAAAUCUUUUUUUAAAAAA
Molecule: long non-coding RNA, 1975 nt
Organism: Mus musculus (house mouse)
Lineage: Eukaryota; Metazoa; Chordata; Mammalia; Rodentia; Muridae
Product: predicted gene, 33714
Exons: 5
Source: RefSeq, a predicted model, not a curated record